RNAcentral lists this long non-coding RNA (242 nucleotides) under Helianthus annuus (common sunflower). RNAcentral's name for it is "Archaeal small subunit ribosomal RNA". It matches the Rfam family "Bacterial small subunit ribosomal RNA", at positions 776 to 957 of the family's 1533-position model. Lineage: Eukaryota; Viridiplantae; Streptophyta; Magnoliopsida; Asterales; Asteraceae. The record is from RNAcentral.
GAUUAGAAUCAUUUUGGGGGCAUAUGAAUCGAAGAAAACCUUUUCUAAUAGAAGGUUAUUAUGAGUGUAUGGAGUAUGUCCUAGCCGUAAACGAUGGAUACUAGGCGCUGUGCGUAUCGACCCGUGCAGUGCUGUAGCUAACGCGUUAAGUAUCUCGCCUGGGGAGUACGUUCGCAAGAAUGAAACUCAAAGGAAUUGACGGGGGCCCGCACAAGCGGUGGAAUAAUAUUAGAACUCCAAUC